AGAGUUUGAUCCUGGCUCAGGAUGAACGCUAGCUACAGGCUUAACACAUGCAAGUCGAGGGGCAGCAUGGUCUUAGCUUGCUAAGGCUGAUGGCGACCGGCGCACGGGUGAGUAACACGUAUCCAACCUGCCGUCUACUCUUGGCCAGCCUUCUGAAAGGAAGAUUAAUCCAGGAUGGCAUCAUGAGUUCACAUGUCCGCAUGAUUAAAGGUAUUUUCCGGUAGACGAUGGGGAUGCGUUCCAUUAGAUAGUAGGCGGGGUAAUGGCCCACCUAGUCAACGAUGGAUAGGGGUUCUGAGAGGAAGGUCCCCCACAUUGGAACUGAGACACGGUCCAAACUCCUACGGGAGGCAGCAGUGAGGAAUAUUGGUCAAUGGGCGAUGGCCUGAACCAGCCAAGUAGCGUGGAGGAUGACUGCCCUAUGGGUUGUAAACUUCUUUUAUAAAGGAAUAAAGUCGGGUAUGCAUACCCGUUUGCAUGUACUUUAUGAAUAAGGAUCGGCUAACUCCGUGCCAGCAGCCGCGGUAAUACGGAGGAUCCGAGCGUUAUCCGGAUUUAUUGGGUUUAAAGGGAGCGUAGAUGGAUGUUUAAGUCAGUUGUGAAAGUUUGCGGCUCAACCGUAAAAUUGCAGUUGAUACUGGAUGUCUUGAGUGCAGUUGAGGCAGGCGGAAUUCGUGGUGUAGCGGUGAAAUGCUUAGAUAUCACGAAGAACUCCGAUUGCGAAGGCAGCCUGCUAAGCUGCAACUGACAUUGAGGCUCGAAAGUGUGGGUAUCAAACAGGAUUAGAUACCCUGGUAGUCCACACGGUAAACGAUGAAU
This 819-nucleotide ribosomal RNA is filed under the name uncultured bacterium. Its description in RNAcentral is "bacterial SSU rRNA". It matches the Rfam family "Bacterial small subunit ribosomal RNA", at positions 8 to 814 of the family's 1533-position model. The record is from RNAcentral.